This 253-nucleotide ribosomal RNA is filed under the name uncultured bacterium. RNAcentral describes it as "partial 16S ribosomal RNA". It matches the Rfam family "Bacterial small subunit ribosomal RNA", at positions 524 to 776 of the family's 1533-position model. The record is from RNAcentral.
UACGGAGGGGGCUAGCGUUGUUCGGAAUUACUGGGCGUAAAGCGCACGUAGGCGGUUAUUUAAGUCAGAGGUGAAAGCCUGGAGCUCAACUCCAGAACUGCCUUUGAGACUGCGUCGCUUGAAUCCGGGAGAGGCGGGUGGAAUUCCGAGUGUAGAGGUGAAAUUCGUAGAUAUUCGGAAGAACACCAGUGGCGAAGGCGGCCCGCUGGACCGGUAUUGACGCUGAGGUGCGAAAGCGUGGGGAGCAAACAGG